GACUGUGUCAACACAGGAGCUACUUAUACUUUGACAGAUGAUGGUACUGUUCAUGUCCUCAAUGACACUUUUAGUGGUGGGAAGUAAGGG
Telopea speciosissima is the source of this 90-nucleotide long non-coding RNA. RefSeq lists it as uncharacterized. NCBI's taxonomy places the organism in Eukaryota, Viridiplantae, Streptophyta, Magnoliopsida, Proteales, Proteaceae. The transcript has 3 exons. The record is from RefSeq and is a predicted model, not a curated record.